CUCCAUUUCCAUUCCUCUGUUUCCUUCUGCCUUCACCAUCUCCAUUCCCCUUCUCUAACUUCUUGGUGCCUGCGAUUCACCAUCGUCACCUGCCAAAAAUCGCCGGCUAAUCACCCUUACCAUCAUUCGCACUUAUUCCCUCUGUCAAACCACAAAAAGGGCUCCAGCUUUUCCUUUUUAUCUCUUCUCUCUCAUGUUUCUUUGACUCUCUCUCUCCUUUUUUGCCAUUACAGGAUCAGACGCCAUUGUUGCCGGCGAAAAGAAAGAAAAAGAAGGGUUGAGUUUGUGCGAAAGAGCGAUUUUUAGAGUCCGGAUCUCUAGAGCGAUUCAACUGAUCGUCCUGCUCAUGUCUUCCUUCGUCGCGGCUUCUUCUUUGCUCAUCGUGAUUUGAGUGAGUUACUUUUCAAACCCAGAAGAAAUUCAACCCCUCAAAAAUUUUCGAUGAUCUGCCGGCCCAUCUCCCUCCUUUUCAGCAGCAGCGGCUUUCGAUUAUUGGCUUUAUAUUUCAAGGGCUUGAUCUUGAUCUCUUGAAGGAGGUUUGAAGCUGAAGAAAUCUGUUUUGUUAUGCUGAUAUUUAGGAUGGGUUUGUAUUUUAUGGAUGGGACCAGACACCAAAGAUUAGUAUGGUGUUUCACUCCCUAGAAUCAGACAUUGCCCUCUCUUGUGCUUGCUCGAGCAUCUCAACUCUCUCAAGACUGGCUAAAGUUUUCUUCAUACAAAGAACAAGCGGUGGGGUUUAGUCUUAGUCUAAUAUCAACAAGCAAUCAUGAAAUGCUAUACAAUUUGACAUGUCACACCUUGACAGAUCCAUCACAAAUGGCGGGCAAAUCAGUAAUGAGACAGCUCGGACAUAGCUUAUUGUCCUCGUUGAAGUACACAUUUAAAGUUGAUAAGAGGAAUACACCUUUGAGGCCUACUCAGGGAUAUGCUUAUAGUUUUACAACGCUAUUAGCUGACCUUAAUCCUGAUAGUCGGAGCAGGUGAGGCUUUUUUCCAUAGAUGCAUGAAUUGUUUUUUGUUUGUGUUUAAGUUGAUUAUAAUUAUAUGAGCAGUUUGUUUGUCUGUUCUCCGAUGAUUUACUUUUAACCUGGCUGGCUCGCUCCACAUUAGGAGCUGCUUCCUAUGUUUUAUUCCUCCCGCCCUAUCAAAUCCUUUUUUUCUCUUUCUGGAAUGUUGGGAAUGUCACUUUUGUGAAUGAAAAUUUAUGUGAAUAGGUCAUGACAGCUUUAUAGAGUAUGACCAGUUUAUGUGAGUCUUGAAUAAUGAAGGUAUGUUAAUAUGUUUAUUAUUACAUAUUGGGUAGUAUAAGAAGAUGAAGUCUACUUUUGGAGGGAGCUCUUUCUACUUUUUAUUCUAGAAUUUGUGGUUAAAAGCCAAUAAAAACUUUGCUACAUUAGCUGCAAAGUGAUGUGGAAU
Beta vulgaris subsp. vulgaris (sugar beet) is the source of this 1416-nucleotide long non-coding RNA. RefSeq lists it as uncharacterized. The record is from RefSeq and is a predicted model, not a curated record. NCBI's taxonomy places the organism in Eukaryota, Viridiplantae, Streptophyta, Magnoliopsida, Caryophyllales, Amaranthaceae. The transcript has 3 exons.